CCUACGGGGGGCAGCAGUGGGGGAUAUUGGACAAUGGGGGCAACCCUGACCCAGCGACGCCGCGUGAGUGAAGAAGUAUUUCGGUAUGUAAAGCUCUAUUAGCAGGGAAGAAGAAAUGACGGUACCUGAGGAAGAAGCCCCGGCUAACUACGUGCCAGCAGCCGCGGUAAUACGUAGGUGGCAAGCGUUAUCCGGAUUUACUGGGUGUAAAGGGCGCGUAGCCGGUGUUGUAAGUCUGGAGUGAAAGGCGGGGGCCCAACCCCCGGACUGCACUGGAAACUGUGUGACUGGAGUGCAGGAGAGGUGGGCGGAAUUCCUAGUGUAGCGGUGAAAUGCGUAGAUAUUAGGAGGAACACCAGUGGCGAAGGCGGCUUACUGGACGGUAACUGACGGUGAGGCGCGAAAGCGUGGGGAGCAAACAGGAUUAGAUACCCCAGUAGUC
This 442-nucleotide ribosomal RNA is filed under the name uncultured bacterium. Its description in RNAcentral is "partial 16S ribosomal RNA". It matches the Rfam family "Bacterial small subunit ribosomal RNA", at positions 338 to 795 of the family's 1533-position model. The record is from RNAcentral.